AAAAAAAUCAACAAGCAACUAUGUCAGCAUCACAGCAAAAGGCCACAGAAUCCUAGAAUCAUUAUGGUUGGAAACAGGAGCUCUGUAACACAUUUAUUGGUCAUGUUUCAGGAAGAACCUGGGUAUUGUCUGUUCAGAUUACUGAAAUGAUGACCUAAAAGUUGCACUCAUACUGAUGGCUAAAGUGUAAUGAAAAAAUCUUAUUUAGCUGUAAUUGGGACAGUGCAGGGCUGAAGGAAGGGAGCAUGCAAAGCAUCUUCCAUUUUUCAGCAAGUGAGAAUGGUGAAGUAGUCAGACUGCUGGACCAGUGCCACAGAGAGAAUGAGAGUGGCUUGGAGGUAUUGCCUGGAUGAUGCCAUGUACUGUAUGAUGUGCUGCCCACACUGCCUGCUCCCCUGCAGUCUGCUUGUUAGGGAGCUAAUGGGAACGAAUGCCAUCGUUUUCUGUUCUACUGUUCCAGGCCCAGGAGAGCUUCACUCCAAACCCACAAAACCAGAGGCUCACAUUUACAUGGCUACAACAUUAUUGUUUAUGUUUGCCUGUGACUGCUCCCACCAAACAAGUCUCACUAAUGUCAGCGUUUUAAUCAUGUGGUUCUCUUUACAGCUCUUUUAAUUAAUAUUCACCAACUCUUUUCAAAAAAUCAGAUCUAAGUACAGGCACAGAAGGCACCUGCUGGCUCCACUCCUCCCUGUCCCCUUGUCUUGGGAUGGGGACAGCCUGGCAUGUUGCUGAUCCAGAGGAAGGGGUGCAUUUGCUCUUCUAAAAAUAUUUCUUAUAUUGAAGAUGUUCAUCUCCUAAAACUUUUAGGGUCAAAAACCAGUAGGCUGAUUACACUUCCAAUUUGGUAAAUAAAAUUCAUUUUGCUGCAGGCUCAAUUAUCUUUGUGAUGCACUUCAUUCGCUCUUGCUGCUUAAUCCAUUAUUUUAUUAGAUACUUAAGACACCCAUAUAAAACAGCGAGGAAGAAGAUCACUGUAAAUAAUUGGUGGCAACAUCUUCAUAUUAAAGCUAAUUAAUAGAAAUAUGACAUUCACGUCCUUUGGAAUUUGGCUUGCUUUCAACUUCUCGCUUACACAGUACGAGCAAUCACUAAAAUAUACACAGAGAUGCUGUGAGGUUUGUUAGAAACUCACUUUGCCUAUUUUAUAUUUAUGUGUUGCUUAGCAGGAAAUGAUCUCCUCUGAAGUAGAAGCACAGAGAACUCUGCUCCUGAGGACUGGUGCAUAUCCCAGCCCCACACAGCUGAGAGCUCAGACCGGGGACCGGCGCGAUAGCAUCUUGCUGUACAGAUUCCGUAAUUAAUUUUAAUUUCUUUAAUUAAGUAUUUAGUCUUUGGGGAAGCAGUAUGAAAAAGUUGCUUCAUAAACUGACAAUGGGCAAUUGUUCCAAGUUUCUUAUCCUGCAGGCACACAGGAUAAUGAGAGCUAUAGAAAUACUUGGGCAGAUUGAUUGCACGGAGCAGAUAGGAAUCCCUUGGCACAAUCCUCUCAUCUGUUUUCAAAGUAACAGGCACCUCCCAGCUCUUCCAGUGAACAUCACUGUUCCCCCGUGUUGCAAGAAGUUAAACCAGCUUUGUCUGAGCGCAGCUAUUGGGGGACGUCCCAAAUAUGACAACACUGAAAUGAAAGAAAUACAGAAGAAAAUGGACAGAUGGGACUGAAUUACCACUCUCUUGUGAGCAGGACCAAAAAGCAGUUCACAAUAAAAAUCUGGAGACGUUGGUGAUUUCAGAUUCAAGGGGAGAACUUAAGAGAUUUGUAUCCAAAUGUAUUUUCCCUGCACAUGUGAAAGAAAUCUUUACAGACUGACUCAAAAACUGUCCUGCAUGAUAUCACAUGCAUAUGUUGCAUCAGGAGGUGACACUGGGAAAAUGGCCACUAGUCAAUUUUAUUGGACUCCUUGCAUUCAGUGCAUGGAAUGCAGGGGCUUCACUUCAACACUACAAUUUCUCCACCAAAACAAAUUCUCAUUUGAAGCCUUACAGCUUGGGUAGUUAAAGUGGCUGCUGACUUCACCUCAUCCCUUCAUCAAACAUCAACAGACAGCAGAAGUUGGGGAAAUAAUGUUAUCAAGAGUCUAAUAUCAAAACUCCAAUACUUUUCCCAAACACACAUAAAAUGAUAUAAAAGAAAGCCAACAGAUGCAGUGUCAUAUGGAUUUGCUUAAUGGCAAUGCUUAGCCUUUCCAAGAAAGGUUUACAUCUACAUUUACUACUAAAACCUGACAUUUGUAUUGAAUAAUUCAUAAUUUGUUGUUUUCUGUGCUUUGCUGCUUUCCUUAUAUGCAUGAACCGAAGUGAUGUUAUCUCUGCUCUAAGGGAAGGAGAUCAAUCUGUACAUAUGCAGAUACUUUUGUUGUCGUUCUGUGGGGUAUAAAUACAUAUUUAACUAAACCAAUGCUAAAAUUCCCUCUUUGCUUAUGACAGAAAUGCUCUGUACAGAUUUAAUUUGCAACAUGACUGUGCUUCCAACUAAUUCUCCCAGGACUCUCCCAGGUAUUUUGGCAACAAUCACAUGUAGUUUGGACACGUGUUUCCAUGCCUACCUGUGCCUCACUGUAAGACAAACUCAUCCCUCUUCACUCUCAGCACAGCUGCAAAUGAGAUCGCUGCCAGGGCUCUUCUACUCUUCCACCUUUUACAGCUUCUCACCUCCCACUCUGCUCUGACCUCAGCACAGGAAGGAUUUGAAGCAUUUGAAGAGACCCUUUGGAUCUAUACAGAACCUCAGCAAAGUGUGUAAGUAGGAGCCAAGGUGCUGUUUUUGUUACUUUACUAUCCUGUUGUUUCUAGCAUCAGCUUUACAGAUAUUACAGUUGGAAAUACCAUACUUGUACUUUUAUCUCCUGAAGUUUGUACUUUUUAAAAACUAAUUUUAAGACACUAUUGUCUAUUUCAACUAUUCUAUCAUAGACGACUUAUCAACCGUAAAGGUUGAGGGAACACUGCCUUUUUUCCUUGAUGCUUCAUCUGCAACUGAGAGAAGCAAAAGAGGAGCUUUGGCUGAUCCGCUGCUGCUCUCCCAGGCCAGUUGUCUUCUUUCCUAUUUCUCAAGGAAAAAUUUCUUAUUUAACUCACACCAACGGAUAAAGUGGUGCAGCAUCAUUUUUUCUGCUACUGUAGCACAUGCUGUAGCAUAUAAAACUUUCCUGCUUCUCUCUAGAUGGGAGUCCCUAGGAGUAAGUUCCUUCCUAAAGCUUGCAGAGCAGCCUGGGGCAGUUCCUGACUAAUUUGGACACCUGGACACGGAUCCCUGUUCUGCAUCCUGCCCUGAAGGCUUCACCUGAUGAACCAAUAGCCACAAACUCAAGGCACAGCAUAAACUACUGAAUAUCUGUAAAAGGAACAGCAAGUGUGAGACAAGGGGGUGUUGUCAGCAACUGAAACUAAGAACAGCUGUCCCAGGGUGGGAUCGACACUAACAGUGUUUCCUGCUUGAAUCUCCCUCACACACCUAAUGCUUGUCACCUGUACUGUAGUUCUGCUCUGUUCUGCAGUAACUGCCUUCCUCUGGGCUGGAACACAAAAGAAGACCUUGUGAAAACAGUCAUCAUUUCUGGGGGUAAAUGUUCACUUCUUUUCCCUCAGAAUCAGAGAGGAACUCCCAGAACUGAUCACAGAUCACCUUCAAGCCUGCAGCAGAGGUUGGUGGGACUUUCCAGGUACCAGCACAUGGGCAGCACGUGGCAGCAGCACUGACAGCAC
Meleagris gallopavo (turkey) is the source of this 3705-nucleotide long non-coding RNA. RefSeq lists it as uncharacterized. NCBI's taxonomy places the organism in Eukaryota, Metazoa, Chordata, Aves, Galliformes, Phasianidae. The record is from RefSeq and is a predicted model, not a curated record.